RNAcentral lists this long non-coding RNA (241 nucleotides) under Elaeis guineensis (African oil palm). RNAcentral describes it as "long non-coding RNA (EGUI_LNC039650)". Lineage: Eukaryota; Viridiplantae; Streptophyta; Magnoliopsida; Arecales; Arecaceae. The record is from RNAcentral.
AGGAUGGCGGCAUAUCGACAAAAGAUGGUGCGGUACUAUAAUUCCCAUAUUCGGGAUAAAGAGUUCAAAGUCGGAGACUUGAUCCUACGGUGAGCCGAAGCCUCUCAGCCCACAGAGUGUGGAAAGCUGAGUCUCAACUGGGAAGGUGCCUAUCAGGUGAAUGAAGUUAUAUGGCCAGGGAUCUAUCGUCUUAAGUAGUUGGACAGGAUGCUUCUACCUCAGCCCUAGAACUCUAAUAACU